UACGUAGGGGGCAAGCGUUGUCCGGAUUUAUUGGGCGUAAAGCGCACGCAGGCGUCGUGUCAGUUCGUGACGACAGUUCUCGGCUCAACUGAGAAAGUGUUACGAAUACUGCACGACUUGAGGGCUUCAGAGGGAUGCGGAACUCCGGGUGUAGUGGUGAAAUGCGUAGAUAUCCGGAAGAACACCAAGGGCGAAGGCAGCAUCCUGGGAAGUACCUGACGCUCAGGUGCGAAAGCUAGGGGAGC
Molecule: ribosomal RNA, 245 nt
Filed under: uncultured Ktedonobacter sp.
Lineage: Bacteria; Bacillati; Chloroflexota; Ktedonobacteria; Ktedonobacterales; Ktedonobacteraceae
Description: partial 16S ribosomal RNA
Rfam family: Bacterial small subunit ribosomal RNA
Source: RNAcentral